RNAcentral lists this transfer RNA (72 nucleotides) under Heterocephalus glaber (naked mole-rat). It matches the Rfam family "tRNA". From Rfam's summary of the family: Transfer RNA (tRNA) molecules are approximately 80 nucleotides in length. Lineage: Eukaryota; Metazoa; Chordata; Mammalia; Rodentia; Bathyergidae. The record is from Rfam by way of RNAcentral.
AGGGAUAUAGCUCAGUGGCAGAGCACUUACCUGGCAUGCAUGAAGCCCUGAGUUCAAUCCCCAGUACUUUUA